RNA transcript from Panicum virgatum (switchgrass), 3346 nucleotides. RefSeq lists it as uncharacterized. The record is from RefSeq and is a predicted model, not a curated record. The transcript has 4 exons. NCBI's taxonomy places the organism in Eukaryota, Viridiplantae, Streptophyta, Magnoliopsida, Poales, Poaceae.
GCCAGGAAAAUCUCUUCUUUCCUUCCUCCUUUCGCCGCACCCUCCGUCUUCGUCGUUCCCCACCAGAGCGAUCCCUGGAUCUCGCCAUCCGUCAAAUAAUUCGAGCUCCCUCCUGGUGAUAUUACUUCAGCAUGAGUUCAAUUGCUCGGAUCUGGUCGAAUCAGAAAGAGAGAAGCAGUAGAGCAGGCAGUCACGCGGAGAUCGGCGACGCCGUCGAGCAGGUGGCCGCGCUGGAGAAGGAAGGUGCCGAAGAGCAGGCGGCACUGUAGAGCAGGCGAAGUCGAGCCCGGGGAGAAGGAUGGCGCCGUCAAGCCGACAGCUGCGCGAAGAACGGCGGCGUCGAGCAUGCGGCCGCGCGGAGAAGGACGGCGCCGUCGAGCCGGCGGCCGCGCAAUGAACGGCGGUGCGUCGAGCAUGCGGCCGCGUGGAGAACUGCGGCGCGUCGAGCUGCCGGCCGUGCGGAGGACGCGCUGUCAAGCAGGCUGCCGCGCAAAGAACCCCUCCGGUGCAUGCUUCGGCCGGCAGUCCACGUCCAGCAGGCAUCGAGGAUGGUUGGGGGACUUCAUCGCUAUGGUUCCAAUAAGUUUCAAGCUUAGGCAGCUGUCGGCUGACAGCUGUGACUACCGCCAUAUCCGAGACCUCCCCUCCACGCCUUUCUCCAUUGCCAUUAGCUACUCCUCCUUCUCCCAACUGGAUGAUGAUACUUUUGCCCCGCAUAUUUGGCAUAAUGCGGCCCCCUCGAGAUGUCGCUCGUUCCUUUGGCUGGUGCAUCACCACAAGCUGAAUACCAAUGCUCGGCUUCGCGAGCGCCGAGCCAACAACUCUGGUCUGUGCCCCCUUUGUGCCGUUCCUGAAGAUGUUCGUCACCUCUUUCUCUUUUGUCCUCGUGCUAAAGAAAUCUGGGCCGUUAUUGGCCUCCCGGGUCUCUCGGUCGGUGAUGUUGAAUCUCUCUGGGGCAUCUCCCUUCCUGGUCCCAACAUCGACAACGGCAAGGUUCGCUCUACACUUUGGAAUAUUUGGAAGCGCCGCAAUGCUCUGGUUUUCAGACUUGAGGAGGAAACUUGCGUCUUCACCUUGCGCCGCUGCUCAGCCGAUCUCCAGCUUUGGCGACACAGGGUGCAAGACCGGCGUGGCGUGCUAAGCUCUGUCUGGAUGCUUGGAGCUCUUUCUUAUGUAAUUAUUUUUAAUCUUUGUUCCUAGUGUUUUUUCUUUUCCUUGCCAGGCGUGUGUCUGGCAACCUUUGUCUUGCUCUGCUCUGCCCCCCACCCUGUACUUCUCUUGAACCGUGUAUCCCCCUCUGUUUUUUGGCAAUAUAUGGUUCAGGCUGGCCCAAAGGGCCCGCCGUAGUUCCGGUCAAAUAGAGCAAAGCAAAACAAGAUAGAUCAAUCUGAAGUUAACUUAGAAAUACUUGACUAGUUGGAGUCUUUAUAGAACACAACACGAUAUGCUUGAGAUUAAAAUGUGAAGUAAAAAACUAAAGAGGUACAUUCAAACACGACAUGCCUGAGUAGAGAGCAUACAUUGACAAUACACACAUAUUAUUGAGAAACUAAAUAAUUAUUCUAUGCUUGAUCACCUCCAAAACGCUGAAAUAUAUGUUCAACCAAGUCUGCUUUGAGACGACCAUGCAUAUCUCGAUUCCGAAUAUCUUCUUCUAUCUCUAGAGCUCUAGCAAACCCAUGAAUUGGCCCAUGUCCAUAAUUUAACAGUGGCGUGGAGGUACCAUUGUCAUAGUCAUACUCGUAGUCAUCAUCAUAGCAAACUCUAAAAGUAUCCCUUUCAUCCUCCACAAUCAUGUUGUAUAAUAUAAUACAUGCAUACAAAAUCUCAGCGAGUGAUUGCACUUGCCACAUACGAGCUGGGCUUCUUCGAAUGGCGAAGCGAGCUUGCAAAACACCAAAUGCACGCUCGACAUCUUUUCUUGCUCCCUCUUGACGUUCUGCAAAUAUUUUGUCUUUGCUGCAUUGAGAACAAACAAGUUAAUACACUGAUAGUAGCGCAUUGAUACAUGAUCUGAUUCACAAGAGCAGUACAACAAUACUCAUUUAAUUUAGAGAGGUAGUACAAGUGAACUAGUCAAAGAAAAAAGAGAACAUUUCAACUAAAAAACUGAGUAGCUAAGUAAGUCAGCACCUCUUCAUGUCGUGCCUUGGUAACUUCAUCAUAGCUUGUAGUGUCUUUAUAUAGCAACGCCAUGUACUUAUCCAUCAUCUGCAGCUUUGUCUUUCCCUUCUCAGCAUCUGCCAUUUUAUUAUCAGCUUCAGCUUUGGCUUUGUGCAGCUUGUGCUUUGGCAAGGGUUGCUUCAGCCAUUUUUUCAACAGCAAUAGCUUUUUUAACUGAAGUUCAUUGAAAAGGCUCACAUUUUCAUUUGAAAUAGUGUCUUCUGAAUAUACUGACUUGCCCUUUCCUUUUUAUUGAGCUUUGGAUGUAUUUCGCCCUGGUGGUCAGCACCUGGCUGCAGGGUCUGCAUCUUCGCUGUCUUGAUUUGAAGAAGAAUAAGCUCCUGAUGCAUUCAGCAUGCUUCUCUUGUUCAUCAUUUCUUCAAUUGUGUAAGCUUUACUCCACUUGGGUUGAUCCUUCACUGCUCUCCACCAAUACUCCAAUGCAAAAGGUCUCUUUUUGUUAACAACUUUUUUGUACUCUUCACGGGCUCUUUCCAUGACUUGGUCAUCAGAUUCGCCACUAGCAUGCUCUCUCCUUGCCUUGUCAUAACAUCCAUUGAACUUGGUAAUAAAAGGUAUAGUCUUGUUCCAAUGGUUUUUCAACUUAGCUGUUGUUCUUCUUUGCUCUUCGGGUGCAUGCAAAUUGUACUCUACUGCAACAUCCUUCCAGUACCUAUCUCCCCUUCUAUCAACUCCUUGAAUUGAAUCAUUAGAACACUUCAACCAAGCACUUACUAACCUAAGGGUUAGCAGGAUCUUCUUGUUGAAGUUGCUCUUGGGACACCGGAGAAGCUGAACCAACAGGGCUGCUCUCAUCAGCUCGUGAAUCACUACCUUGAAAGAAGGCGAUGGAUCCAACUGGUGUUGCUUGUCCACCUCCCUGUUGUUGUCGUCUCAGGCCCUGAAUUCAAGAGAUUUGACAAAGAGGAAGUGUUCUCCAUGACUACAAUACGAGAGCAAUAGAUUUGUAUGCUCAUGUAUAUGGUCUCUGUGUAUAUAUAUAGCACUUUAGUCUAGAUGAGCCAACGGUAAAAUUCUUGUGUCCGUUGAAUGUAGACGUUGGCUGCAUGCAGAGGGAGAGAGUCAGGUUUCAACUGCCACUGUUGCUACAGUAAAUAUAUGUUUCUUUACUCUUUGGGCACCGGUGAAUGUAGAUGCCUUGCUUCCUGGUUUUUGGGCAUCA